This 1371-nucleotide ribosomal RNA is filed under the name uncultured bacterium. Its description in RNAcentral is "bacterial SSU rRNA". It matches the Rfam family "Bacterial small subunit ribosomal RNA", at positions 28 to 1381 of the family's 1533-position model. The record is from RNAcentral.
GAUGAACGCUGGCGGCGUGCCUAAUACAUGCAAGUCGAGCGAACAGACGAGGAGCUUACUCCUCUGACGUUAGCGGCGGACGGGUGAGUAACACGUGGAUAACCUACCUAUAAGACUGGGAUAACUUCGGGAAACCGGAGCUAAUACCGGAUAACAUGUUGAACCGCAUGGUUCAACAGUGAAAGACGGUCUUGCUGUCACUUAUAGAUGGAUCCGCGUCGCAUUAGCUAGUUGGUAAGGUAACGGCUUACCAAGGCAACGAUGCGUAGCCGACCUGAGAGGGUGAUCGGCCACACUGGAACUGAGACACGGUCCAGACUCCUACGGGAGGCAGCAGUAGGGAAUCUUCCGCAAUGGGCAAAAGCCUGACGGAGCAACGCCGCGUGAGUGAAGAAGGUCUUCGGAUCGUAAAACUCUGUUAUUAGGGAAGAACAAAUGUGUAAGUAACUAUGCACGUCUUGACGGUACCUAAUCAGAAAGCCACGGCUAACUACGUGCCAGCAGCCGCGGUAAUACGUAGGUGGCAAGCGUUAUCCGGAAUUAUUGGGCGUAAGCGCGCGUAGGCGGUUUUUUAAGUCUGAUGUGAAAGCCCACGGCUCAACCGUGGAGGGUCAUUGGAAACUGGAAAACUUGAGUGCAGAAGAGGAAAGUGGAAUUCCAUGUGUAGCGGUGAAAUGCGCAGAGAUAUGGAGGAACACCAGUGGCGAAGGCGACUUUCUGGUCUGUAACUGACGCUGAUGUGCGAAAGCGUGGGGAUCAAACAGGAUUAGAUACCCUGGUAGUCCACGCCGUAAACGAUGAGUGCUAAGUGUUAGGGGGGUUCCGCCCCUUAGUGCUGCAGCUAACGCAUUAAGCACUCCGCCUGGGGAGUACGACCGCAAGGUUGAAACUCAAAGGAAUUGACGGGGACCCGCACAAGCGGUGGAGCAUGUGGUUUAAUUCGAAGCAACGCGAAGAACCUUACCAAAUCUUGACAUCCUCUGACCCCUCUAGAGAUAGAGUUUUCCCCUUCGGGGGACAGAGUGACAGGUGGUGCAUGGUUGUCGUCAGCUCGUGUCGUGAGAUGUUGGGUUAAGUCCCGCAACGAGCGCAACCCUUAAGCUUAGUUGCCAUCAUUAAGUUGGGCACUCUAAGUUGACUGCCGGUGACAAACCGGAGGAAGGUGGGGAUGACGUCAAAUCAUCAUGCCCCUUAUGAUUUGGGCUACACACGUGCUACAAUGGACAAUACAAAGGGUAGCGAAACCGCGAGGUCAAGCAAAUCCCAUAAAGUUGUUCUCAGUUCGGAUUGUAGUCUGCAACUCGACUACAUGAAGCUGGAAUCGCUAGUAAUCGUAGAUCAGCAUGCUACGGUGAAUACGUUCCCGGGUCU